This 426-nucleotide long non-coding RNA is filed under the name Cavia porcellus (domestic guinea pig). RNAcentral's name for it is "lncRNA (ENSCPOG00000033936.1)". Lineage: Eukaryota; Metazoa; Chordata; Mammalia; Rodentia; Caviidae. The record is from RNAcentral.
UUCUCCCUCUCUCUCUUCCUCCUUUCUCUCUCUCUCUCUCUCUUUACUCUCCCUUCCCUUUUCUCCCUCUCUCUGCCUCUUCCUCUUUCUUUCUCUCUUUCCCCCUCCUUCCCUCAUUCCCUCUCCCCUCCACAUCUAGUAAAGAUGAUAAUUCAGAGUGGCUUUAGUCCAUGCCCAGCAGCUGCGUGGAGCUGCAGAAGGAACAUGUGCCAGCAACCAGGCCAGGCACAAUGAAAAGAGGCCAAGAGUGAAGAGAAGCACACGGUGAUUAACUUUCCAAGCAAAAAGAUGCUUGGAAUGUGUUCAGGGUCUACAUCUUUCUGCAGAAGAAGGCUGACCCCACAAACAAGGUAACUACUCGCUUCUAUCAGAAUCAGGCAAACUUGGCUUUGGAGUUAAGCAGUGAGAGGCCUGCAUUUCACCCAG